This 28-nucleotide non-coding RNA is filed under the name Mus musculus (house mouse). The record is from RNAcentral. Lineage: Eukaryota; Metazoa; Chordata; Mammalia; Rodentia; Muridae.
UCAUUAGUGACAUUUUUCUUGCUGGUGU